AUUGAACGCUGGCGGCAUGCCUUACACAUGCAAGUCGACGGUAACAGGUCUUCGGAUGCUGACGAGUGGCGAACGGGUGAGUAAUACAUCGGAACGUGCCCGAUCGUGGGGGAUAACGGAGCGAAAGCUUUGCUAAUACCGCAUACGAUCUACGGAUGAAAGCAGGGGAUCGCAAGACCUCUCGCUAUCAGAUGAGCCCA
Molecule: ribosomal RNA, 200 nt
Filed under: uncultured bacterium
Lineage: Bacteria
Description: partial 16S ribosomal RNA
Rfam family: Bacterial small subunit ribosomal RNA
Source: RNAcentral